UAUCUUGUGUGUUCUACUAUACUAAUAGAACAAUAGUGUUCUGCUAUACUAAUAGAACAAUAGUGUUCUAUCUUGUGUGUUCUACUAUUCUACCUGGCAACAGUAAGUUGAGACCCCCGAGUUCCCUGAAAACAAAAGCAUUUGCUAGAAGGUAUGUAGCUGAAAAACAAACCCGUUCCAGGAUCUAUACUGAGAAAGACAUACAGUCCUAUAACAUGCUACUGUCCAAGGGCUGAUCAGUAUGUACUACCAGACAUCAGUUAGCGACAGGGUGUGUCCCACCAAACAGAAACAUCACAACAAACACUGGUGUGGCAAAAAAUACAAAAGAGAAUUUCUGCUUUGAAUGUUUUCCCAGGAAGAGUUGAGUUCAGGACAGGCCUAGAUGAGCAGCUAACUCUCAGAGGUCAUUUUUUUUAUACUAGGCAAGUUAGUUAAGUUAGUUAAGAACAAAUUCCUAUUUUCAAUGACGGCCUAGGAACAGUGGGGUUAACUGCCUGUUCAGGGGCAGAACGACAGAUUUGUACCUUGUCAGCUCGGGGAUUUGAACUUGCAACCUUCCGGUUACUAGUCCAACACUCUAACCACUAGGCUACCCUGCCUGCAAGAUAACUAGCUACAUUCUCUAACUUAGUAACUAGUUGGCACAACUUUACAAACACAGCCAAGUUAGCUAGAAACCACAAAAGCAGCACCAAACAUGUCAGCUGGCUGGCUGUUUGUAUGGAAAGCCUAUGUAUGACUAUAUAGACAAUAAAUAUAGUCAGUCAUCUAGAUAAAAACAGCUCUGAUGUGGUUUUACUUAGCUACCUAGCUAGUUACUUAGCUAGAUAUCUCCAGUUAACUAACUAGUCAACGUAGUUACAGUAGCUGAGACAACUUGCUACUAACUAACUAACUAACUCCCAUUUGAAGAUGACAGUUUUGGUCCUAAGUAACUGUAGCUAACUAGCUAGUAAACUAAACGUACCUCUGAUAUUAGUUCAUUUAACGUUAUAUGUUUUAUUGUCACAUACACCGGAUAGGCUUCGUGAAAAUGGGACGUUUUUUUUUACCGGGACACAACUCACACCACUUUGUCAUCCAAAAUGUAAUAUAACAAACCAAACCAAUACAAACGUUACCAGACAGUUGUUUUUGGGGUGAAGAAACGGGUCUUGGGGAACAUUUCAUGACGGUAACGACGAGUUGUUUACCAGACCUUUUGGUUUCCUGGUAGUUGGUAAACUAACGCGUUAGUGAAUAAACUGCUGUGUUUAACUACAAUGUGUUUUUAGAAACAACACCGUCCACAUAACAAACAGCCCCACAAGGGUCUGACUGGCAGCCUGUGUUUGACUUCUGACUUUAUUCAAAUCGAAGACGGCAGAUAUCCGGUUUAUUACUAAACAGGCGAGGACGAGUGCAGGUUGUAUUGGUGCGGAUGGAGGAACCGGGCACCGGGCAAUGAAUAUGAAGGUGCCGGUGGCUCUUUAAAAAACAAUUGAUAGUUACAGUUGCAACAACAACAACAAAUUACAACAAUAAUCAACUCACCGAAAAUCUUUUGGAGGGUGUGUCUUCUUGCGGCGGUAGGGUUCAUGUCGGCAUGUUGCGGAUGCAAUUUCAAGUCCUGUCGUACUCAGCACAUGUAA
Oncorhynchus mykiss (rainbow trout) is the source of this 1634-nucleotide long non-coding RNA. NCBI's taxonomy places the organism in Eukaryota, Metazoa, Chordata, Actinopteri, Salmoniformes, Salmonidae. The record is from Ensembl.